Non-coding RNA from Canis lupus familiaris (dog), 88 nucleotides. Lineage: Eukaryota; Metazoa; Chordata; Mammalia; Carnivora; Canidae. The record is from Rfam.
GGGGGGAGGCUGGAUCCUGGGCUGUGUCCUGGCGCCCUGGGCUCCCGGCCUGCGCUGUUGGAUUCGCGCUCCCGCCCCGCAGCCCUCU